CGCAGGCUGCCACAGAAGCACUGUGACUCAUGGGCCCUGUUCCCCCGUUGGGCCUCAGGGGUAAGUUUGGUCACAGACACCA
Small nucleolar RNA from Phyllostomus discolor (pale spear-nosed bat), 82 nucleotides. RefSeq annotates it as small nucleolar RNA SNORA5. The transcript has a single exon. NCBI's taxonomy places the organism in Eukaryota, Metazoa, Chordata, Mammalia, Chiroptera, Phyllostomidae. The record is from RefSeq and is a predicted model, not a curated record.